GAUGAACGCUGGCGGCGUGCUUAACACAUGCAAGUCGAACGGUGACACAGUGAUAGCUUGACUUUACGGGUGCCGACGGGUGGGCGGGGUGGGAGAACAGUGGAACCCACUUUUGCAUCGGGGCUAACGUAGGGGAAUAUCCCCUAAUACCCGUUACGACCUCCCGGUGACACAAUGGGAAGAUUUGUCAUUGCUGGUAAGACUAAGGCGAUAUCGGAUUGGCUCGUUGGCGGGGGAAAAGCCCACCAAGGCGAGGAUCCGUAGCUGGUCUGAGGGGAUGGUCGGCCACACUGGAACUGAGACACGGUCCAGACUCCUAAGGGAGGAAGCAGUGGGGAAUAUUGGGCAAUGGGCGAAAGCCUGAUACAGCAAUACCGCGUGGGUGAAGAAGGCGUUCGGGUUGUAAAGCCCUUUUGUUGGGAAAGAAAAGCAGCAGGUUAAUAAGACGCUGAACUGACGGUACCCAAAGAAAAAGCACCGGCUAACUACGUG
This 492-nucleotide ribosomal RNA is filed under the name uncultured bacterium. RNAcentral's name for it is "partial 16S ribosomal RNA". It matches the Rfam family "Bacterial small subunit ribosomal RNA", at positions 28 to 507 of the family's 1533-position model. The record is from RNAcentral.